UUGUGGAGGAGGACGCCGAAGGUGGGGCUGAUGACUGGGGUGAAGUCGUAACAAGGUAGCCGUACCGGAAGGUGCGGCUGGAUCACCUCCUAACAGGGAGACAAAACUGAUUAUGAUGUCUGAUUAAAAUAUUAGGCCUUAAUCCUGUCACCUUAGGUCGAUCGGUACCUCAGGCUGAGAACUGAAGAAAUGGAAGCAAUUCUUAUAUUUAGUUUUCGGUUUUAGUUCCUAAACUUGUCUAGGUCACACCCAACAAACUUUCUCCUGGGCUAUUAGCUCAGGCGGUUAGAGCGCACCCCUGAUAAGGGUGAGGUCCCUGGUUCAAGUCCAGGAUGGCCCAUUCGUUGUUGGGGGUAUAGCUCAGUUGGUAGAGCGCCUGCUUUGCAAGCAGGAUGUCAGCGGUUCGAGUCCGCUUACCUCCACUGAUCAACUACCUGAUAACUCACUAUGGAGAUUGUUAUUUGGUUUAUGUGAUUUAGAUGUUGUUCCUCUGAAUGAACCUAGCUUCCUGUCAAAUCUUAAUUUUUUAAGGGUUGAUAAGACGCUGGGCUCACUUUUACUCGAAAGAGUAUCAGUUUGAUUCAGUAGAACCUUGACAACUGCAUAGGAAAAUCUAGAAAUUAAAGCAUCUCAUAGAUACAUAGGCAAUUUUGUUCAAUAAUUUUGAAUUUGAUUGAUCUAUUUUCAAUUCUUGAGUUAGAGCAUAUAUUUCGUUGCUUUACAAAGUAAUGCUAACGAAUAAUGGUCAAGCUACAA
RNAcentral lists this unclassified non-coding RNA (756 nucleotides) under uncultured Prochlorococcus sp. RNAcentral's name for it is "partial 16S-23S ribosomal RNA intergenic spacer; may also contain 16S ribosomal RNA and 23S ribosomal RNA". The stretch from base 1 to 93 matches the Rfam family "Bacterial small subunit ribosomal RNA", at positions 1441 to 1533 of the family's 1533-position model. Lineage: Bacteria; Bacillati; Cyanobacteriota; Cyanophyceae; Synechococcales; Prochlorococcaceae. The record is from RNAcentral.